GGACUCUGAAAAUACGGACUGAGGACCCCUGAGGAUCUCUAAGACCCAGUCAAGGAAUCUGAGAAUUCCUCUGUUUUCCUACUCCAUAUCUGUAGGAGGCCAGAUUUUCUUCAAAUACUCAAACUGAAGAACAUGUCACGAUUGUAUCAAUGGCAGAGGCACCUAUUAGAAUCCAGCAUGUUCCUUCCUACACGUGGAGAUCUGUGCACCUGUAUUACUGCCUCUACCAGAAGACACAGCACUCUUUGCAUUCAUCACAGUACUCAGCAAUGCUCUGCAUGUAACAGAAGCUCAAGAUCACAAGCAGGCAGAGAGGCAGGCAGAGAG
Lutra lutra (Eurasian river otter) is the source of this 327-nucleotide long non-coding RNA. RefSeq lists it as uncharacterized. The record is from RefSeq and is a predicted model, not a curated record. The transcript is spliced from 3 exons. Lineage: Eukaryota; Metazoa; Chordata; Mammalia; Carnivora; Mustelidae.